RNAcentral lists this ribosomal RNA (448 nucleotides) under Bacillus sp. AntCr22. RNAcentral describes it as "bacterial SSU rRNA". It matches the Rfam family "Bacterial small subunit ribosomal RNA", at positions 1074 to 1521 of the family's 1533-position model. The record is from RNAcentral. Lineage: Bacteria; Bacillati; Bacillota; Bacilli; Caryophanales; Bacillaceae.
GUUGGGUUAAGUCCCGCAACGAGCGCAACCCUUGAUCUUAGUUGCCAGCAUUAACUUGGGCACUCUAAGGUGACUGCCGGUGACAAACCGGAGGAAGGUGGGGAUGACGUCAAAUCAUCAUGCCCCUUAUGACCUGGGCUACACACGUGCUACAAUGGAUGGUACAAAGGGCUGCAAGACCGCGAGGUCAAGCCAAUCCCAUAAAACCAUUCUCAGUUCGGAUUGUUAGGCUGCAACUCGCCUACAUGAAGCUGGAAUCGCUAGUAAUCGCGGAUCAGCAUGCCGCGGUGAAUACGUUCCCGGGCCUUGUACACACCGCCCGUCACACCACGAGAGUUUGUAACACCCGAAGUCGGUGGGGUAACCUUUAUGGAGCCAGCCGCCUAAGGUGGGACAGAUGAUUGGGGUGAAGUCGUAACAAGGUAGCCGUAUCGGAAGGUGCGGCUGG